RNAcentral lists this long non-coding RNA (316 nucleotides) under Gossypium barbadense (sea-island cotton). Its description in RNAcentral is "long non-coding RNA (GBAR_LNC009297)". Lineage: Eukaryota; Viridiplantae; Streptophyta; Magnoliopsida; Malvales; Malvaceae. The record is from RNAcentral.
UAAGAAGAUAUAUGAGUCUAGUUUUAGGGAAAAUUAAUAGAUCUUAAUUUAGAGUCUUGUAGCUUGAGUUAUAAAUAAUUUAUCGACUAUGACUUGAGUAGAUAGCUUGACCAUAAUAUGAGUAAAAGUGUAAUUAUAGUUGUUUUACCUAAGGAAAUAUGUUGUUAUAAUGCUUAUUAUUUUCAUAUGGACUUACUAAGCGUAAAGCUUACUCCCCCUUCCAUUUCUUCUAGUGUCCUCAGGUCGGCUCAAGGUUGGAUAUCGUCGAAGGCAACCUCACAUUAUCAAGCUACCAUCUUUGGAGUAUUGUUGAAAC